ACAGCAGUAGCCGCGGGAAUACGUAGGUCCCGAGCGUUGUCCGGAUUUAUUGGGCGUAAAGCGAGCGCAGGCGGUUAGAUAAGUCUGAAGUUAAAGGCUGUGGCUUAACCAUAGUACGCUUUGGAAACUGUUUAACUUGAGUGCAAGAGGGGAGAGUGGAAUUCCAUGUGUAGCGGUGAAAUGCGUAGAUAUAUGGAGGAACACCGGUGGCGAAAGCGGCUCUCUGGCUUGUAACUGACGCUGAGGCUCGAAAGCGUGGGGAGCAAACAGGAUUAGAUACCCCAGUAGUCCCUGUCUCUUAUACA
This 305-nucleotide ribosomal RNA is filed under the name uncultured bacterium. RNAcentral describes it as "partial 16S ribosomal RNA". It matches the Rfam family "Bacterial small subunit ribosomal RNA", at positions 506 to 808 of the family's 1533-position model. The record is from RNAcentral.